CAGCAGCCGCGGUAAUACGUAGGUCCCGAGCGUUGUCCGGAUUUAUUGGGCGUAAAGCGAGCGCAGGCGGUUAGAUAAGUCUGAAGUGAAAGGCAGUGGCUCAACCAUUGUAGGCUUUGGAAACUGUUUAACUUGAGUGCAGGAGGGGAGAGUGGAAUUCCAUGUGUAGCGGUGAAAUGCGUAGAUAUAUGGAGGAACACCGAUGGCGAAAGCGGCUCUCUGGUCUGUAACUGACGCUGAGGCUCGAAAGCGUGGGGAGCGAACAGGACUAGAUACCCCAGUAGUCCCUGUCUCUUAUACA
This 301-nucleotide ribosomal RNA is filed under the name uncultured bacterium. RNAcentral describes it as "partial 16S ribosomal RNA". It matches the Rfam family "Bacterial small subunit ribosomal RNA", at positions 509 to 808 of the family's 1533-position model. The record is from RNAcentral.